This 306-nucleotide ribosomal RNA is filed under the name uncultured prokaryote. RNAcentral's name for it is "bacterial SSU rRNA". It matches the Rfam family "Bacterial small subunit ribosomal RNA", at positions 8 to 332 of the family's 1533-position model. The record is from RNAcentral.
AGAGUUUGAUCCUGGCUCAGAGCGAACGCUGGCGGCAUGCUUAACACAUGCAAGUCGCACGGUAUGGGGGCAACUCCAUGCAGUGGCGGACGGGUGAGUAACGCGUAGGAAUCUAUCCUUGGAUGGGGGACAACCGUGGGAAACUACGGCUAAUACCGCAUGAUGCCUGAGGGCCAAAGCUCGUGAGAGCGUCUGGGGAGGAGCCUGCGUCUGAUUAGGUAGUUGGUGGGGUAAAGGCCUACCAAGCCUGCGAUCAGUAGCUGGUCUGAGAGGAUGAUCAGCCACAUUGGGACUGAGACACGGCCC